Molecule: ribosomal RNA, 253 nt
Filed under: uncultured bacterium
Lineage: Bacteria
Description: partial 16S ribosomal RNA
Rfam family: Bacterial small subunit ribosomal RNA
Source: RNAcentral
UACGUAGGGUGCGAGCGUUGUCCGGACUUAUUGGGCGUAAAGAGCUUGUAGGCGGUCUGUCGCGUCUGCUGUGAAAAUCCGGGGCUCAACCCCGGACUUGCAGUGGGUACGGGCAGACUAGAGUGUGGUAGGGGAGACUGGAAUUCCUGGUGUAGCGGUGAAAUGCGCAGAUAUCAGGAGGAACACCGAUGGCGAAGGCAGGUCUCUGGGCCACUACUGGCGCUGAGAAGCGAAAGCAUGGGGAGCGAACAGG